RNAcentral lists this ribosomal RNA (431 nucleotides) under uncultured bacterium. RNAcentral's name for it is "partial 16S ribosomal RNA". It matches the Rfam family "Bacterial small subunit ribosomal RNA", at positions 29 to 507 of the family's 1533-position model. The record is from RNAcentral.
AACGAACGCUGGCGGCAGGCUUAACACAUGCAAGUCGAACGCCCCGCAAGGGGAGUGGCAGACGGGUGAGUAACGCGUGGGAAUCUACCCAUCCCUACGGAAUAACGCAUGGAAACGUGUGCUAAUACCGUAUACGCCCUACGGGGGAAAGAUUUAUCGGGGAUGGAUGAGCCCGCGUUGGAUUAGCUAGUUGGUGGGGUAAAGGCCUACCAAGGCGACGAUCCAUAGCUGGUCUGAGAGGAUGAUCAGCCACAUUGGGACUGAGACACGGCCCAAACUCCUACGCAAGGCAGCAGUGUGGAAUAUUGGACAAUGGGCGCAAGCCUGAUCCAGCCAUGCCGCGUAAGUGAUGAAGGCCUUAGGGUUGUAAAGCUCUUUCACCGGAGAAGAUAAUGACGGUAUCCGGAGAAGAAGCCCCGGCUAACUUCGUG